UACGGGGGGAGCAAGCGUUGUUCGGAUUUACUGGGCGUAAAGGGCGCGUAGGCGGCGUGACAAGUCACUUGUGAAAUCUCCGGGCUUAACUCGGAACGGUCAAGUGAUACUGUCGUGCUAGAGUACAGAAGGGGCAACUGGAAUUCUCGGUGUAGCGGUGAAAUGCGUAGAUAUCGAGAGGAACACCUGCGGCGAAGGCGGGUUGCUGGGCUGAUACUGAGCUGAGGCGCGAAAGCUAGGGGAGCGAACGGG
Molecule: ribosomal RNA, 252 nt
Filed under: uncultured bacterium
Lineage: Bacteria
Description: partial 16S ribosomal RNA
Rfam family: Bacterial small subunit ribosomal RNA
Source: RNAcentral